Long non-coding RNA from Anopheles cruzii, 835 nucleotides. RefSeq lists it as uncharacterized. The record is from RefSeq and is a predicted model, not a curated record. NCBI's taxonomy places the organism in Eukaryota, Metazoa, Arthropoda, Insecta, Diptera, Culicidae. The transcript has 4 exons.
GAUUGGUCGGCACAAUAACGACUCGGUGUUACUCUCCGUGGAAAACAAUUGUACGAAAGCACGAUGACAGCAAAGCACAUGGCUAAUCCUCGAGGAUGCGUUAGCCAAGCAUUAGAAGCAUUGAAUAAAAAAAAAUCGGGUUGGAUUCUUUACCUCACUGGGAACGAUGGAACAACGUCUCGUCGUCGUCAACGAUGAUAACAAUCGUAGCUAAAAUCAUUUUCCGGGAAAUGUACCUGUAAUAAUUGCUCUGAUGCCGAAGCAAGGGCAAACACCACAGAUGACAAGGAGAAGAUGCCGAGCAAAAAGCAGCUCACCAUUGACAAAUAUCUUAACACAAAGCAGAGUGAACUGAGAUACAACUCGUAGUCAACCAAACAUGAUGGCAACCCCAUUAAGUUUUCCAUAUGCCCCAGCACUCUGCUGCAAAGUAUCGGCCCACGACGACGACGAGUACCGAUAGUCAUUAGUUCAUCUUAACUUUGUGGUUAAAGGCAAAAACCACCGUAGACAAGCAGACGCCAAGCAAAAUUUUACGUGUGCCCCCACCACUCUACUGAAAAGAAUAGGCCUUUGACUGAAAGCUGGUUGGAGGAGAUAAUCAAGACAAACCGCAUUGACAAAUGCGUUGCGACCCGCCACCACUAGGCCGGCAGCUGCUAAGUCCAACGAUGCACGGUUGUCGAAUCGAGAAGGCCGAGAAGUCGAGAAAGCCCAAGCCUGUGAGAUGACGCACGUAGCAAAAAUAUGUAACCAUCAAUUAUGCUAUUGUAAAUAUUGCAACAUUGGGGUUCUGCAGGCCAAGACCGCUCGUCGGUUGUAGCCGGUUAAGUAA